Molecule: non-coding RNA, 109 nt
Organism: Acanthosepion pharaonis
Lineage: Eukaryota; Metazoa; Mollusca; Cephalopoda; Sepiida; Sepiidae
Source: the annotation of a GenBank genome assembly
ACGGUCAUAUCACGUAGAAUUCACAGAUUCUCGACUGAUCUCCGAACGUAAGCAUUGUCGCGCCAGUUCAGUACCUGGCUGACCGCUUUGGAAUAUCAGGUGGCGCCAG